CAGGCCUAACACAUGCAAGUCGAACGCUGUAUUUAUACAGAGUGGCGCACGGGUGAGUAACACGUGGGAAUCUGCCCUUCUCUGCGGGACAACAGUUGGAAACGACUGCUAAUACCGCAUACGCCCUUCGGGGGAAAGGUCCGCCGGAGAAGGAGGAGCCCGCGUCUGAUUAGCUUGUUGGUGGGGUAAAGGCCUACCAAGGCGACGAUCAGUAGCUGGUCUGAGAGGAUGAUCAGCCACACUGGGACUGAGACACGGCCCAGACUCCUACGGGAGGCAGCAGUGGGGAAUAUUGGACAAUGGAGGAAACUCUGAUCCAGCAAUGCCGCGUGUGUGAUGAAGGCCCUAGGGUUGUAAAGCACUUUCAUUGGUGAAGAUGAUGACGGUAACCAAAGAAGAAGCCCCGGCUAACUUCGUGCCAGCAGCCGCGGUAAUACGAAGGGGGCGAGCGUUGUUCGGAAUUACUGGGCGUAAAGGGAGCGCAGGCGGUUCAAUUAGUUAGGCGUGAAAGCCCCGGGCUCAACCUGGGAACUGCGCUUAAUACUGUUGAGCUAGAAUACAGAAGAGGAUAGUGGAAUUCCCAGUGUAGAGGUGAAAUUCGUAGAUAUUGGGAAGAACACCGGUGGCGAAAGCGGCUAUCUGGUCUGUU
RNAcentral lists this ribosomal RNA (649 nucleotides) under uncultured bacterium. Its description in RNAcentral is "bacterial SSU rRNA". It matches the Rfam family "Bacterial small subunit ribosomal RNA", at positions 43 to 738 of the family's 1533-position model. The record is from RNAcentral.